CCUACGGGAGGCAGCAGUGGGGAAUAUUGGGCAAUGGGCGCAAGCCUGACCCAGCAACGCCGCGUGAAGGAAGAAGGCUUUCGGGUUGUAAACUUCUUUUGACAGGGAAGAGCAGAAGACGGUCCCUGUCGCAUAAGCCACGGCUAACUACGUGCCAGCAGCCGCGGUAAUACGGAGGUGGCAAGCGUUGUCCGGAUUUACUGGGUGUAAAGGGCGUGUAGCCGGGCUGACAAGUCAGAUGUGAAAUCCGGGGGCUCAACCCCCGAACUGCAGUUGAAACUGUUGGUCUUGAGUGUCGGAGAGGCAGGCGGAAUUCCUGGUGUAGCGGUGAAAUGCGUAGAUAUUAGGAGGAACACCAGUGGCGAAGGCGACCUGCUGGACGACAACUGACGGUGAGGCGCGAAAGCGUGGGGAGCAAACAGGAUUAGAUACCCUUGUAGUC
RNAcentral lists this ribosomal RNA (442 nucleotides) under uncultured bacterium. RNAcentral describes it as "partial 16S ribosomal RNA". It matches the Rfam family "Bacterial small subunit ribosomal RNA", at positions 338 to 795 of the family's 1533-position model. The record is from RNAcentral.